GAUGAACGCUAGCGGCAGGCUUAAUACAUGCAAGUCGUGGGGCAGCAGGAAGUAGCAAUACUUUGCAGGCGACCGGCAAACGGGUGCGUAACACGUACGCAACUUUCCCUUUACUGGAAGAUAGCCCACCGAAAGGUGGAUUAAUAUUCCAUAUUAUAAUGAGACGGCAUCGUUUUAUUAUCAAAGCUCAGGCGGUAAAGGAUGGGCGUGCGGCUGAUUAGAUAGUUGGCGGGGUAACGGCCCACCAAGUCUACGAUCAGUAGCUGAUGUGAGAGCAUGGUCGGCCACACGGGCACUGAGACACGGGCCCGACUCCUACGGGAGGCAGCAGUAAGGAAUAUUGGUCAAUGGAGGCAACUCUGAACCAGCCAUGCCGCGUGAAGGAUGAAGGUCCUCUGGAUUGUAAACUUCUUUUAUAUGGGACGAAACACUUUCUUUCUAGAGAGCUUGACGGUACCAUAGGAAUAAGCACCGGCUAACUCCGUGCCAGCCGCCGCGGUAA
This 502-nucleotide ribosomal RNA is filed under the name uncultured bacterium. Its description in RNAcentral is "partial 16S ribosomal RNA". It matches the Rfam family "Bacterial small subunit ribosomal RNA", at positions 28 to 523 of the family's 1533-position model. The record is from RNAcentral.